UGCGCGGAAGAUGUAACGGGGCUAAGUAGUAAACCGAAGCUGCGGCAAUGUGCUUUUGCACAUUGGGUAGGGGAGCGUUCUGUAAGCGGUUGAAGGUGUGUGGUAACGCAUGCUGGACGUAUCAGAAGUGCGAAUGCUGACAUGAGUAACGAUAAAGGGGGUGAAAAACCUCCUCGCCGGAAGACCAAGGGUUCCUGUCCAACGUUAAUCGGGGCAGGGUAAGUCGACCCCUAAGGCGAGGCCGAAAGGCGUAGUCGAUGGGAAACGGGUUAAUAUUCCCGUACUUCUUACAAUUGCGAUGGGGGGACGGAGAAGGCUAGGUGGGCCUGGCGACGGUUGUCCAGGUUCAAGUGCGUAGGCUUGAGAGUUAGGUAAAUCCGGCUCUC
RNAcentral lists this ribosomal RNA (386 nucleotides) under Vibrio parahaemolyticus. RNAcentral describes it as "partial 23S ribosomal RNA". It matches the Rfam family "Bacterial large subunit ribosomal RNA", at positions 1160 to 1550 of the family's 2925-position model. Lineage: Bacteria; Pseudomonadati; Pseudomonadota; Gammaproteobacteria; Vibrionales; Vibrionaceae. The record is from RNAcentral.